Molecule: ribosomal RNA, 491 nt
Filed under: uncultured bacterium
Lineage: Bacteria
Description: partial 16S ribosomal RNA
Rfam family: Bacterial small subunit ribosomal RNA
Source: RNAcentral
GAUGAACGCUGGCUACAGGCUUAACACAUGCAAGUCGAGGGGAAACGACGGGGAAGCUUGCUUCCCCGGGCGUCGACCGGCGCACGGGUGAGUAACGCGUAUCCAACCUGCCUCUGACUGAGGGAUAACCCGUCGAAAGUCGGCCUAAUACCUCAUGGCAUCGUCUGCGGGCAUCCAACGACGAUUAAAGAUUUCAUCGGUCAGGGAUGGGGAUGCGUCUGAUUAGCUUGUUGGCGGGGUAACGGCCCACCAAGGCUACGAUCAGUAGGGGUUCUGAGAGGAAGGUCCCCCACAUUGGAACUGAGACACGGUCCAUACUCCUACGGGAGGCAGCAGUGAGGAAUAUUGGUCAAUGGGCGGGAGCCUGAACCAGCCAAGUAGCGUGCAGGAUGACGGCCCUAUGGGUUGUAAACUGCUUUUAUGCGGGGAUAAAGUGAGGGACGUGUCCUUCAUUGCAGGUACCGCAUGAAUAAGGACCGGCUAAUUCCGUG